RNAcentral lists this transfer RNA (87 nucleotides) under Cryomorphaceae bacterium. RNAcentral's name for it is "tRNA-Ser". It matches the Rfam family "tRNA". From Rfam's summary of the family: Transfer RNA (tRNA) molecules are approximately 80 nucleotides in length. Their secondary structure includes four short double-helical elements and three loops (D, anti-codon, and T loops). Further hydrogen bonds mediate the characteristic L-shaped molecular structure. tRNAs have two regions of fundamental functional importance: the anti-codon, which is responsible for specific mRNA codon recognition, and the 3' end, to which the tRNAs corresponding amino acid is attached (by aminoacyl-tRNA synthetases). tRNAs cope with the degeneracy of the genetic code in two manners: having more than one tRNA (with a specific anti-codon) for a particular amino acid; and 'wobble' base-pairing, i.e. permitting non-standard base-pairing at the 3rd anti-codon position. RNAcentral also lists the same sequence under 1 other name. Lineage: Bacteria; Pseudomonadati; Bacteroidota; Flavobacteriia; Flavobacteriales; Cryomorphaceae. The record is from RNAcentral.
GGAGAGGUGUCCGAGUGGCUGAAGGAGCGCGCUUGGAAAGCGCGUGUACGGGUAACCGUACCGGGGGUUCGAAUCCCCCUCUCUCCG